GCUGUGAUGGUGUAAUGGUAACAUCCAAGCUUCCCAGUGACAUCAUGCUAGUCUGCUUGGGCCCCGAGUUCGAUUCUCGGUCACAGCA
Molecule: non-coding RNA, 88 nt
Organism: Xylaria arbuscula
Lineage: Eukaryota; Fungi; Ascomycota; Sordariomycetes; Xylariales; Xylariaceae
Source: the annotation of a GenBank genome assembly